GUCUUUUUGAUAAAAUUUAAAGUCCAAUCUGCUCACUGAGGUAUUAAAGAGCCGCAGUAUAUUGACUGUGCAAAGGUAGCAUAAUCAAUAGUUUUUUAAUUGAAAACUUGUAUGAAAGAUUAGACGAGAAAUUUAUUUUCUUUAUUUUAGUAAAUUAAAAUUUAAAUUUAAGUGAAAAUGCUUAAUUAAUUUUAAAAGACGAGAAGACCCUAUAGAUUUUUAUUAUUAAUGUGAAUUAUAUAGUUUGAUUUAUUGAAAUAAUUUAAUUGGGGCGAUUUUAUAAAAUAAAAAACUUAAAUUUUUAAAACCGUAUAUAAUUGAAUAUUUUGAUCUAAAAAUUUUAAAAGAGAGAUUGAAUUACCUUAGGGAUAACAGCGUAAUUUUAUUUAAGAGUUCAUAUCUAUAAUAAAGUUUGCGACCUCGAUGUUGAAUUAAGAUAAUAUAUUGGAGUAGAAAUUAAUAUAAUUAGUCUGUUCGACUAUUAAAUUCU
RNAcentral lists this ribosomal RNA (490 nucleotides) under Psocomesites sp. KY286. Its description in RNAcentral is "partial 16S ribosomal RNA". The stretch from base 368 to 490 matches the Rfam family "Bacterial large subunit ribosomal RNA", at positions 2473 to 2596 of the family's 2925-position model. Lineage: Eukaryota; Metazoa; Arthropoda; Insecta; Psocodea; Psocidae. The record is from RNAcentral.